GAUUUCUGGAUUCUGAAAUUUGGCCGGCCACGGUUUCGUGUGUUAGUGCUUUGUUUCGUGUCCAUCCUUCCAAUCGCUAUUGGCUAUUCUUCAUUGAUUGGUCAGUAGUAUUGGAUCUUUUACUUUGAAAAAAUUAGAGUGUUUCAAGCAGGCUUUAUGCUAUGAAUACAUUAGCAUGGAAUAAUAAUUUAGGACUUCGGUUCUAUUUUGUUGGUUUCUAGGACUGAAGUAAUGAUUGAUAGGGAUAGUUGGGGGUGCUAGUAUUCAGCGGCCAGAGGUGAAAUUCUCGGAUUCGCUGAAGACUAACUUAUGCGAAAGCAUU
Molecule: ribosomal RNA, 322 nt
Filed under: uncultured Sandona
Lineage: Eukaryota; Cercozoa; Glissomonadida
Description: SSU rRNA
Rfam family: Eukaryotic small subunit ribosomal RNA (bases 112-322)
Source: RNAcentral